Molecule: ribosomal RNA, 795 nt
Filed under: uncultured bacterium
Lineage: Bacteria
Description: bacterial SSU rRNA
Rfam family: Bacterial small subunit ribosomal RNA
Source: RNAcentral
UGGUGGCGAGUGGCGAACGGGUGAGUAAUAUAUCGGAACGUAUCCAGUUGUGGGGGAUAACUAAUCGAAAGGUUGGCUAAUACCGCAUACGCCCUGAGGGGGAAAGCUGGGGAUCNUCGGACCUAGCGUUGAUGGAGCGGCCGAUAUCUGAUUAGCUAGUUGGUGAGGUAAAGGCUCACCAAGGCGACGAUCAGUAGCUGGUCUGAGAGGACGACCAGCCACACUGGAACUGAGACACGGUCCAGACUCCUACGGGAGGCAGCAGUGGGGAAUUUUGGACAAUGGGCGCAAGCCUGAUCCAGCCAUUCCGCGUGAGUGAAGAAGGCCUUCGGGUUGUAAACCGCUUUUGUCAGGGAAGAAACGGUUUGGGCUAAUACCCCGAACUAAUGACGGUACCCGAAGAAUAAGCACCGGCUAACUACGUGCCAGCAGCCGCGGUAAUACGUAGGGUGCAAGCGUUAAUCGGAAUUACUGGGCGUAAAGCGUGCGCAGGCGGCUUUGCAAGACAGAUGUGAAAUCCCCGGGCUCAACCUGGGAACUGCAUUUGUGACUGCAUGGCUAGAGUGCGGCAGAGGGGGAUGGAAUUCCGCGUGUAGCAGUGAAAUGCGUAGAUAUGCGGAGGAACACCGAUGGCGAAGGCAAUCCCCUGGGCCUGCACUGACGCUCAUGCACGAAAGCGUGGGGAGCAAACAGGAUUAGAUACCCUGGUAGUCCACGCCCUAAACGAUGUCAACUGGUUGUUGGACGGCUUGCUGUUCAGUAACGAAGCUAACGCGUGAAGUUGACCGCCUGGGG